GAGUAGCUGGGGUUACAGGCGCCCGCUACCACACCCGGCUAAUUUUUGUAUUUUUAGUAGAGACGAGGUUUCACCAUGUUGGUCAGGCUGGUCUGAAACUCCUGAAGAGAUCCGCCCACCUCGGCCUCUCAAAGUGCUGGGAUUACAGGCGUGAGCUACCGCGCCCGGCCCGAGACCCCUUUCUUGUCUCUGCAUAGCGCCCACCCCUGGCCUAGAGCCUCUUCAGCUUUCCAUCACUAAGCUAAGCUCUCACCUCUACUUUAGCCUCUUCCUUACUUAGACUUGUGUUAUGGGCUUCCUCCACUCUGAUUAACCCAUCCACAUGCUCCGAUCUUCUCAUCUUCCUGAAGUCAUUUGAUACCUCUCAUCUAAUGGUUCAGCCUUCACUGGAAAUGCACAAUUUUGAGGAAGAGUUAACUUGUCCCAUAUGUUAUAGUAUUUUUGAAGAUCCUCGUGUACUGCCAUGCUCUCAUACAUUUUGUAGAAAUUGUUUGGAAAACAUUCUUCAGGCAUCUGGUAACUUUUAUAUAUGGAGACCUUUACGAAUUCCACUCAAGUGCCCUAAUUGCAGAAGUAUUACUGAAAUUGCUCCAACUGGCAUUGAAUCUUUACCUGUUAAUUUUGCACUAAGGGCUAUUAUUGAAAAGUACCAGCAAGAAGACCAUCCAGAUAUUGUCACCUGCCCUGAACAUUACAGGCAACCAUUAAAUGUUUACUGUCUAUUAGAUAAAAAAUUAGUUUGUGGUCAUUGCCUUACCAUAGGUCAACAUCAUGGUCAUCCUAUAGAUGACCUUCAAAGUGCCUAUUUGAAAGAAAAGGACACUCCUCAAAAACUGCUUGAACAGUUGACUGACACACACUGGACAGAUCUUACCCAUCUUAUUGAAAAGCUGAAAGAACAAAAAUCUCAUUCUGAGAAAAUGAUCCAAGGCGAUAAGGAAGCUGUUCUCCAGUAUUUUAAGGAGCUUAAUGAUACAUUAGAACAGAAAAAAAAAAGUUUCCUAACGGCUCUCUGUGAUGUUGGCAAUCUAAUUAAUCAAGAAUAUACUCCACAAAUUGAAAGAAUGAAGGAAAUACGAGAGCAGCAGCUUGAAUUAAUGGCACUGACAAUAUCUUUACAAGAAGAGUCUCCACUUAAAUUUCUUGAAAAAGUUGAUGAUGUACGCCAGCAUGUACAGAUCUUGAAACAAAGACCACUUCCUGAGGUUCAACCCGUUGAAAUUUAUCCUCGAGUAAGCAAAAUAUUGAAAGAAGAAUGGAGCAGAACAGAAAUUGGACAAAUUAAGAACGUUCUCAUUCCCAAAAUGAAAAUUUCUCCAAAAAGGAUGUCAUGUUCCUGGCCUGUAAAUACAAUCAAGUGGCAUCUUAAAUUUUUGCUGGAAGUGGAGUCAUGAGACUAAAGAUAUCUCUUUUAAAAGAACCAAAGCAUAUCCUUUUAAUGCUUAUAAAUCUUAUUGGAUUUUCUUAAUUAUAGUAUUGUUAAAAGUUUCUCUAUUUUAUAUCCUAGUUGAAGAAUAGAUUUUUUUUUUCAUUCCUUUAGUGGCUGUUUACCUAAAUUGUUUUAAAGUAUUUAAGAUCAUGUGUUGUAAGUAAUUCUCCAAAGUGAACCGUUUGCUAUAAAUCUUAUUUUAAAAUUCUUACUGACGUUUUUCUUACUCUACUUAAGUACUAUACUUAAAUACUUAAAAAGCAGUUUUUGUUUACUUUAGUAGGAUCUUAAAAAGAAGCUUUUUUUUUUUUUUUUUGAGACAGAGUCUCACUCUGUCACCCAGGCUGGAGUACAGUGGUGUGAUCUCAACUCACUGCAACCCUCUACCUCCUGGGUUCAAGUGAUUCUCCUGCCUCAGCCUCCUGAGCAGCUCAGAUUAUAGGCACCCGCCAACAUGCCCGGCUAAUUUUUGUAUUUUUAGUAGAGACGGGGUUUCACCAUGUUGGCCAGGCUGGUCUCGAACUCUCGACCUCAGGUGAUCCACCCGCCCCAGCCUCCCAAAGUGCUGGGAUUACAGGCAUGAGCCACCGCGCCUGGCCAAAAUGAAGCAUUUUUUAAACCAAACUGUUUCUUUGCUAGUGUGAUCUAGCAUGUAUUCAUUCCACUGUGCUCUAUUUCUUUACAUUCAUGAUAAAGUGAAGGACAAGUUGGGGAAAUCUGAGCAGUCAGAUCCUCAUUAUUUCACAUGGGAAGGUGGCAAUUAAUAAUAUUUUCUCAAACACAUGACCCUAUAUUUUGUCAGCAAGAGUCCCCAGUUAUGUGUCAAGGAGAUAUGACAGGCCCCACUAUCAUCAUUCUUAGACAUUUAGACUAAUUCUGCUCAAAGUAUCCUUUGUAGACUUUAUUGCAGGUCUGUGAAAGAAUAGGUAAAUAAAUUGAAAGUAAGGGCUGAGAAAUUUUUGUAGCAAUUUGACAUUGUUAUAAUGUCCAAUUUUUCUAAUAUUUUAUUUUUAUUGUAUCUUACGAAAUAUCCAUAUGCAAUGGAUUCGAAAUAAAGAAAAAUCUGGUCCUUCAUCAGAACUAGGAAAGCACUGAUUUAAACAUUUGGUCAGACAUUUUAAAUUGAAUUAGUAAGCUGUGUGGGCUGGACUACUGCUGAAGAGCUGUAUUCAUGUAGUGAUGAUCACCAGAUAGUGAAGUGGAACUUGUUAACCAGUGAAACAACUCAAAUAGUAAAGCUUCCUGAUGAUAUUUACCCUAUUGAUUUUCACUGGUUUCCAAAAAGUUUGGGUGUAAAGAAACAAACCCAGGCAGAAAGCUUUGUCCUCACAAGUUCUGAUGGUAAAUUUCAUCUGAUUUCCAAGUUAGGAAGAGUGGAAAAAAGUGUAGAAGCUCACUGUGGAGCAGUACUUGCAGGAAGAUGGAAUUAUGAAGGAACAGCAUUAGUUACAGUUGGAGAAGAUGGACAAAUAAAAAUUUGGUCAAAGACUGGGAUGCUUAGAUCAACUUUAGCUCAGCAAGGAACACCAGUGUAUUCAGUAGCGUGGGGCCCUGAUUCAGAAAAGGUUCUUUAUACAGCAGGCAAGCAGCUAAUCAUUAAACCUCUUCAACCAAAUGCUAAAGUUUUGCAGUGGAAAGCUCAUGAUGGCAUUAUUUUAAAAGUAGAUUGGAACUCGGUCAAUGAUCUUAUUUUAUCUGCUGGUGAAGACUGUAAAUAUAAGGUAUGGGAUAGUUACGGCCGCCCACUGUACAAUUCACAACCUCAUGAGCAUCCCAUUACUUCAGUUGCCUGGGCUCCAGAUGGAGAAUUAUUUGCUGUUGGAUCGUUUCAUACUUUACGCUUGUGUGAUAAAACUGGGUGGUCAUAUGCAUUAGAAAAACCCAACACUGGCAGCAUAUUUAAUAUUGCAUGGUCUAUCGAUGGCACUCAGAUUGCUGGAGCCUGUGGAAAUGGACAUGUCGUUUUUGCACAUGUGGUGGAACAACAUUGGGAGUGGAAAAAUUUUCAAGUAACAUUAACGAAAAGAAGAGCCAUGCAGGUUCGUAAUGUUCUUAAUGAUGCAGUGGAUUUACUGGAAUUCCGUGAUAGAGUCAUUAAAGCAUCUUUGAACUAUGCACACUUAGUUGUUUCAACGUCUCUUCAAUGUUACGUGUUCUCCACGAAGAACUGGAACACACCAAUUAUAUUUGAUCUCAAAGAAGGAACUGUUAGUUUGAUUCUGCAGGCAGAAAGACAUUUUCUUCUUGUAGAUGGUAGUAGUAUCUAUUUAUAUUCAUAUGAAGGGCGCUUUAUUUCAUCUCCAAAAUUUCCUGGAAUGAGAACAGAUAUUCUGAAUGCACAGACUGUGUCUUUGAGUAAUGAUACCAUAGCAAUAAGAGACAAAGCUGAUGAAAAAAUAAUCUUCCUCUUUGAGGCAUCAACCGGAAAGCCGUUAGGUGAUGGAAAGUUUCUUUCUCAUAAGAAUGAAAUCUUGGAAAUUGCUCUGGAUCAAAAAGGACUUACCAAUGAUAGAAAAAUUGCUUUCAUUGAUAAAAAUAGAGAUCUCUGUAUCACUUCUGUGAAACGAUUUGGGAAGGAAGAACAAAUUAUCAAGCUUGGAACAAUGGUGCAUACUUUGGCAUGGAACGAUACAUGCAAUAUCCUUUGUGGACUUCAAGAUACUCGAUUUAUAGUGUGGUAUUACCCCAAUACAGUUUAUGUGGACAGAGACAUUUUGCCUAAAACAUUAUAUGAAAGGGAUGCAAGUGAAUUUAGUAAAAAUCCCCAUAUUGUGAGUUUUGUUGGAAAUCAAGUAACUAUUAGAAGAGCUGAUGGCUCCCUGGUUCACAUCAGCAUAACACCAUAUCCUGCUAUUCUCCAUGAAUAUGUAAGCAGUUCAAAAUGGGAAGAUGCUGUGAGACUUUGUCGCUUUGUUAAGGAGCAAACCAUGUGGGCUUGUCUAGCUGCUAUGGCAGUUGCUAAUCGAGAUAUGACUACUGCAGAAAUAGCCUAUGCAGCAAUUGGUGAAAUUGAUAAGGUUCAGUACAUCAAUUCUAUAAAAAAUCUUCCAUCUAAAGAAUCAAAAAUGGCCCACAUACUACUGUUUAGUGGGAACAUACAGGAGGCUGAAAUAGUACUUCUUCAGGCUGGCCUUGUUUAUCAAGCAAUCCAGAUCAAUAUUAAUCUCUACAACUGGGAAAGGGCACUGGAAUUGGCUGUAAAAUACAAAACACAUGUUGAUACAGUUCUUGCUUACCGUCAAAAGUUUUUGGAGACAUUUGGUAAACAGGAAACUAAUAAACGAUACUUGCAUUAUGCAGAAGGUCUCCAAAUAGAUUGGGAGAAAAUCAAAGCCAAAAUUGAGAUGGAAAUUACAAAAGAAAGAGAGCAAUCAUCAAGCAGCCAAUCCAGCAAGAGUAUAGGUUUAAAGCCCUAAAUGCCAUGCGUAUCUUUAAGAAAUUUUAUCUUUUGAAACACGUUCUGAUUAACCAAGGGUAAGCAUGUUUUGGUUGCUAAAGAAAAAAGCAUAAUCUUUAACCGAGUAUAAGUACUUGCUGUGUAUUUAGUGUAAAAGUACAUGCAGAAAGAUGAAACACAAAGUAAUUGAUGUAUUUCUAUCUUUUAUAUUUUUUAGUCCAAUAAUUAGCAAAAUAUUACUAUGUACUUAAGAGAUACCUGUGUAGUGUCGAUUAUAUGUCAGUUUUUUGCCCAUUACUUCAUCCCUAAAUCUUCAGCAUGAACAAAUAUUAAUGUCGAUAAUAAAACAUUGGACUCUUUGAAAUGUAUGUUACCAUUAAUUUCUAUUUGACCUCUAAAUUGUAAAAUGCCUCCAAAAGUUUAUUUAUAGAACAAAAAUACAUGAGGAUGGAUUUGUACAAAUGUAUAAAAUGCCACUAUUUAUACACCAAGUUCAUAGCAGCAUUACUGGAAUAGCAAAAGAUGGAAACAGCUCAAGUGUCUAUCAUGAAUGGAUAAACAAAUGUGCUAUAAUACAUACAAUGGAAUAUUAUUUAGCUUUAAAAAGGAAUGAAAUUCUGAUAAAUACUACCUCAGGAUAAACCUUGAAAACACUAUGCUAAGUGAAAUAAGCCAGACACAAAAGGCCAAAUAUGAUGCCACUUUUAUGAGGUACCAGCAUAGGCAAGUUCACAGAAACAGAAAGGAGAAUAGUGGUUGCCAGGGACUGCAGGGAGGAGGAAAUGGGGGGUGGGGUUAUUGUUUAACGAGUACAUAGUUUCUGUUUGGGAUGAACAAAUUCUGGAAAUGGAUAGCGAUGAUGGUUGCUCAACAUUUUGAAUGUUAAUGCCACUAAAUUGUACCCAUAAAAAUGGUUAAAAUGGUAAAUUUUGUUAUGUAUAUUUUAUCAUAAUUUAAAAAAUAUAUCUAGAAUGGGCAAGAAGGAUUCUCCUCAUUCCUCUCUUGACUUGAGAAUGAUCAGUCAAUAGGCCCUGAAGUCUGAAUUUGUGAAAAUUUCCUUGGGUGACAAACUUGUUUGAUUACUCUAUUUAGUGUAUCCCAAAGUUAUUACCACAUAAUCUUUUAAACAAUAAAACAAAUACCCCUUAGAAAGUCUUCUGCAAACCCAUUUCUGAAAAUGGUACAUUAUAGGGUGGGUAUAGAUGCAUAGAUAUGGGAUUAUGUAUGAUAUAUAUAUAUAUACACACACACACAAAGGGAUAGAGAGAUUACCUCUCUUAACCCCCAUUUUAAUUACUAUGUCUAGGUUUUUUAAAUAAAAAUCUUUUCUUUUUAACAUGUUUCUUUUCUUUUCCGGAAUAUUGGAAUAUUCUGUUCUUGAUCCAGAUGAAAUCUGAUUGAGCAGUGUACUUACAAGUUGUACUGUGUAUGUGUUUCCUAUAUUGUUAUAUUUCAAUAAGAAGCUUAAAAUGUUUAAAAAUAAAUGGUUAAAAGGUUUUAUGUUAUGUAUAUUUUACCACAAUAAAUGCAAAAAAUAAAAAGUCUGUGUUCUAAACAA
RNAcentral lists this long non-coding RNA (6384 nucleotides) under Homo sapiens (human). RNAcentral describes it as "TRIM59-IFT80 readthrough (NMD candidate), transcript variant 3 (TRIM59-IFT80)". Lineage: Eukaryota; Metazoa; Chordata; Mammalia; Primates; Hominidae. The record is from RNAcentral.